This 324-nucleotide ribosomal RNA is filed under the name uncultured eukaryote. Its description in RNAcentral is "partial 18S ribosomal RNA". It matches the Rfam family "Eukaryotic small subunit ribosomal RNA", at positions 1470 to 1796 of the family's 1831-position model. The record is from RNAcentral.
CCCUUAGAUGUUCUGGGCCGCACGCGCGCUACACUGAUGCAUUCAACGAGUUUCUUCCUGGUCCGAGAGGAAUGGGUAACCUUUUGAAAGUGCAUCGUGAUAGGGAUAGACUAUUGCAAUUAUUGGUCUUCAACGAGGAAUUCCUAGUAGACGUAGUUCAUCAGACUGCAUCGAUUACGUCCCUGCCCUUUGUACACACCGCCCGUCGCUCCUACCGAUUGAAUGCUCAGGUGAGCCAUUCGGACUUUCAUCAUGCUGGUUUCCAGUUUUGAUGAAGGAAAGUCUUGCGAACCUUAUCAUUUAGAUGAAGGAGAAGUCGUAACA